RNAcentral lists this ribosomal RNA (397 nucleotides) under uncultured bacterium. RNAcentral's name for it is "bacterial SSU rRNA". It matches the Rfam family "Bacterial small subunit ribosomal RNA", at positions 30 to 427 of the family's 1533-position model. The record is from RNAcentral.
AUUGAACGCUGGCGGCAUGCCUUACACAUGCAAGUCGAACGGCAGCACGGACUUCGGUCUGGUGGCGAGUGGCGAACGGGUGAGUAAUAUAUCGGAACAUACCCUAGAGUGGGGGAUAACGUAGCGAAAGUUACGCUAAUACCGCAUACGAACUAAGGUUGAAAGCGGGGGAUCUUCGGACCUCGUGCUCAUGGAGUGGCCGAUAUCUGAUUAGCUAGUUGGUGAGGUAAAGGCUCACCAAGGCGACGAUCAGUAGCUGGUUUGAGAGAACGACCAGCCACACUGGAACUGAGACACGGUCCAGACUCCUACGGGAGGCAGCAGUGGGGAAUUUUGGACAAUGGGGGCAACCCUGAUCCAGCAAUGCCGCGUGAGUGAAGAAGGCCUUCGGGUUGGU